This 492-nucleotide ribosomal RNA is filed under the name uncultured bacterium. RNAcentral describes it as "partial 16S ribosomal RNA". It matches the Rfam family "Bacterial small subunit ribosomal RNA", at positions 29 to 507 of the family's 1533-position model. The record is from RNAcentral.
AGUGAACGCUGGCGGUAGGCCUAACAUAUGCAAGUCGAACGGCAGCACAGUAAGAGCUUGCUCUUACGGGUGGCGAGUGGCGGACGGGUGAGGAAUACAUCGGAAUCUACUUUUUCGUGGGGGAUAACGUAGGGAAACUUACGCUAAUACCGCAUACGACCUACGGGUGAAAGCAGGGGAUCUUCGGACCUUGCGCGAUUGAAUGAGCCGAUGUCGGAUUAGCUAGUUGGCGGGGUAAAGGCCCACCAAGGCGACGAUCCGUAGCUGGUCUGAGAGGAUGAUCAGCCACACUGGAACUGAGACACGGUCCAGACUCCUACGGGAGGCAGCAGUGGGGAAUAUUGGACAAUGGGCGCAAGCCUGAUCCAGCCAUACCGCGUGGGUGAAGAAGGCCUUCGGGUUGUAAAGCCCUUUUGCUGGGAAAGAAAAGCAGCAGGUUAAUACCCCGCUGUUCUGACGGUACCCAAAGAAUAAGCACCGGCUAACUUCGUG